Molecule: long non-coding RNA, 1243 nt
Filed under: Prunus dulcis (almond)
Lineage: Eukaryota; Viridiplantae; Streptophyta; Magnoliopsida; Rosales; Rosaceae
Description: sRNA ncRNA
Source: RNAcentral
CUUUAAUAAGUUUAUCAAAGUGACUCAGAGAGUAAGAGGCUCUGCAGUCGAAGCUUUGAUAAGGGGCGGUUGCAGUUGAUAGACUAUGAACGUUCAAACGGGAAAGUUCAGAUAAAUCAGACAGUUUUCACAGUUAUAAAUUUUGCCUUGAUUGAUCAGACUUUAGGAUUGAUUGAGUUGUCAAAAAGGAAGAGCAUUUCAAAUUCCAAUUCCAAUCUCUCCAUGUCAUUUGGUUUGUUGGUACCACCAAUACAACUAUUCUGUUUGACAAGAGGGCAGAAUCACCUCUCUGUGGCCAAAAAGAUUUCUCCUCAGAACAACAGGCACAGAAGAACCAGAGAUAUUAAGAAAAUUGUAUUUUCUGUCUCCAAUAGGGAUGAGCUGAGCCUCCUCAGAGGCAUUUGUGGUUGGUUUGUUCUUCAGUGACUUUAUCCACCAGUUUUCAAGUCUGCAUCUCUCUCUCUCUCUCUCUCUCUCUCUCUCUCUCUCUCUCUCUCUCUCUAUAUAUAUAUAUAUAUAUAUAUAUUCUUCUUUCAUUGCAAUUUGUCCCCCACAAUAAAAGUUCAUCUCCAUCAUCAUCAUCAUCAUCAUCAUCAUCAUUGCCAUUUGGACUCCAACAAAAUGAAGAAAAGGGCAUGCCUAAUUCUAGUGGCCAGUCUUCUGAGUUGGGUUUGUGUAACAAGCAGACCUUUUACAUCCUCUGACUUCGCUCAUCAACAAGGUUAGCUAAAACCUCAUUUUUUUGACCUUUCAUUCUUUUAUAGUAAUAUCUACUUGAGUCCAAAUGUUUUUUUAUUAUAUCCACUAUACCAUGUUGCUAAUUAGUUUCUAUACAUAGCUGAUCAAGACCAAAACCCACAUCCCCAAGAUGCAACCUUUGACCCAAAACAGGUACAUCUCGGGCUCUCCCUAUCUGGGUUUUGAAUUUCUUAUGCUAUAAUGCGUAAGUGUUUGUUUGUUUUUUUGUAGGGAGUUGAAGGCAUUGAAGGACUUCCGGGAGAUGAUGAAAAUGAAGGGAAGUAUAGAGGGCUGAGCAGGCUUGGCUCAAGACCACCAAAUUGUGAGCACAAAUGUCAAGGCUGUGUGCCAUGUUUUCCAGUUCAGAUACCCACAACCACAGACCAAAUUGGACUUCAAUAUGCAAAUUAUGAGCCUGAAGGAUGGAAAUGCAAGUGUGGCUCUACUUUCUUCAACCCAUAAAUGGUUCAGUUUUUUCAAGUUCAAACUUCAGAGACAACUUGAU